GUCCAUUCAGAGAUAUUCAAUAAAUUGGAACGAGAUAGAGAAGAUUAACAUGUCCCAUGCACAAGUUGACAUGCAUCAAUAAAGAAAUCUACAAUCAUUAAUUUUU
Molecule: small nuclear RNA, 106 nt
Organism: Salvia hispanica
Lineage: Eukaryota; Viridiplantae; Streptophyta; Magnoliopsida; Lamiales; Lamiaceae
Source: RefSeq, a predicted model, not a curated record